AGUGAACGCUGGCGGUAGGCCUAACACAUGCAAGUCGAACGGCAGCACAGUAAGAGCUUGCUCUUACGGGUGGCGAGUGGCGGACGGGUGAGGAAUACAUCGGAAUCUACUUUUUCGUGGGGGAUAACGUAGGGAAACUUACGCUAAUACCGCAUACGACCUACGGGUGAAAGCAGGGAAUCUUCGGACCUUGCGCGAUUGAAUGAGCCGAUGUCGGAUUAGCUAGUUGGCGGGGUAAAGGCCCACCAAGGCGACGAUCCGUAGCUGGUCUGAGAGGAUGAUCAGCCACACUGGAACUGAGACACGGUCCAGACUCCUACGGGAGGCAGCAGUGGGGAAUAUUGGACAAUGGGCGCAAGCCUGAUCCAGCCAUACCGCGUGGGUGAAGAAGGCCUUCGGGUUGUAAAGCCCUUUUGUCGGGAAAGAAAAGCAGCAGGUUAAUACCCCGCUGUUCUGACGGUACCCAAAGAAUAAGCACCGGCUAACUUCGUG
RNAcentral lists this ribosomal RNA (492 nucleotides) under uncultured bacterium. RNAcentral's name for it is "partial 16S ribosomal RNA". It matches the Rfam family "Bacterial small subunit ribosomal RNA", at positions 29 to 507 of the family's 1533-position model. The record is from RNAcentral.